AGGACAUCAAGCCAGGCUUGGUCUUGGGCGCGGUCUGACCGACCCGCCUGUAACUGUCAGCGGCAACCGUUCGGUCCCUAGGCGUAGCAAAAAACUAUUCGUCUCUGGGGCCCGCGGGUGGUCGUCUCAAGACUCUGGCCCUCUGGGCCACUAAA
RNAcentral lists this unclassified non-coding RNA (155 nucleotides) under uncultured Ascomycota. RNAcentral describes it as "sequence contains ITS2". The record is from RNAcentral. Lineage: Eukaryota; Fungi; Ascomycota.